Molecule: ribosomal RNA, 253 nt
Filed under: uncultured bacterium
Lineage: Bacteria
Description: partial 16S ribosomal RNA
Rfam family: Bacterial small subunit ribosomal RNA
Source: RNAcentral
UACGUAGGGGGCAAGCGUUGUCCGGAAUCAUUGGGCGUAAAGAGCGUGUAGGCGGUUCGAUAAGUCUGCUGUGAAAGUCCAGGGCUCAACCCUGGAAAGCCGGUGGAUACUGUCGGACUAGAGUGCGGAAGAGGCGAGUGGAAUUCCCGGUGUAGCGGUGAAAUGCGCAGAUAUCGGGAGGAACACCAAUUGCGAAGGCAGCUCGCUGGGACGUUACUGACGCUGAGACGCGAAAGCGUGGGGAGCAAACAGG